GUCCACGCCGUAAACGGUGGGCACUAGGUGUGGGACUCAUUCCACGAGUUCCGUGCCGUAGCUAACGCAUUAAGUGCCCCGCCUGGGGAGUACGGCCGCAAGGCUAAAACUCAAAGGAAUUGACGGGGCCCGCACAAGCGGCGGAGCAUGCGGAUUAAUUCGAUGCAACGCGAAGAACCUUACCUGGCCUUGACAUGCACGUAGUAGAAGGGUGAAAGCCUAACGAGGUAGCAAUACCAGCGUGCACAGGUGCUGCAUGGCUGUCGU
Molecule: ribosomal RNA, 267 nt
Filed under: uncultured bacterium
Lineage: Bacteria
Description: partial 16S ribosomal RNA
Rfam family: Bacterial small subunit ribosomal RNA
Source: RNAcentral